Lactuca sativa (garden lettuce) is the source of this 3416-nucleotide non-coding RNA. Lineage: Eukaryota; Viridiplantae; Streptophyta; Magnoliopsida; Asterales; Asteraceae. The record is from RefSeq and is a predicted model, not a curated record.
UGAAGCUACAUAAACUUUCCCGUGACACCCAACCCUAGUUUCGUUAUGUGUGUGUGCAUUGUGUGCGGCUGGUGAGUUAGAGGGGAGGGGUUUGAGUCCAAGAGAGAAAAGGGGAAGGUGAAGGGAGGCUGCCACCGUCAAAAUCUCGCUGGAGGUCGCCAGAAACCGUCAACCGGCAUCGUUAGAGCCCCGUCAUAUAAAUGUAGUCGCUGGAAAACAUGGAGUGGCGGUGGACAAGGUGGGUGUUGUUUCCUGGAAUGUUUGGUUUAGAAGAGAAAGCUCCAAGUUGUUCCGAUUCCGACGAUGCUUCGAGGUGAUUAACUCUUUCCUGCGAACUCAAUGUGAAGGGAUACCGCCAGAUUAUUGGUGGAACUCAUUUUAUCUCUAAUCAAUUGUAUUGGUGGAACUCAUUUUAUUGGUGGAACUCAUUUUAUCUCUAAUCGAUUGUAUGAGGAGUAUAAUAGAAGCAAGUUCAAUUCCAUGAUUGAUUGAUGUAUAUUUUGAGACACUAAAGGAUCAUGAGAAAAAGAAGAAAAUAGUAGAACCGACUGCUACAAAACCCGUAAAGGGUCCCUCACAUGGUAACUUGUAAGUUCUAUUUAGGAAAAAGUAUGGGGUGAAACAAACACGAGGAAAAUUCGGACUUGGUGGUGCAAAAAUGGUAUCAAUAUGGUCAAAGAUGAAUACAAGAGUAUACUACUCAUCAAUGAAGAAUGAAAAUUCCGCUACGAACUCUAGAUGUAGACAUUGAUAGAAACAUUCCCCAUAUUCAUUUACAUGAAAAGAUAGGUGACAUGGAGAAUUAGCAUGGAGUUGAGAUCAAAGUUGUAAUUGAGGGAAACUUGACAGCAUAUGGUUUGGAGAUAUUGGAGCAGAUGCGCAAAAUGGCAGUUAUUACUCCUUAUGCCGAAUUCAAGUUUCGAUUUGUUACAGUUACACCAGAUGAAAAUGGUGUGAAAAAAAGUUAUCCAAGAUUGACAGAGGAAAUGCCUCGAGUUUCUGUAGAAACAAAAUACCAUCCAUCAGCCGUGGAUUUACCAUGAAAAAUAGGUCCUGAAGUCACUUCCAAAACACAAGUCAAACUCUUUGACUCUCCCACAAAUUGCUUGCAUGUAUCGGUUGUUUCAACAUACAAAAUUUGAUGAUCUAGUGGCAAUGAUAGGACUAAUUUGGCGAGAGUAUAUAUAAGGUGCUGCAACCGAACGUGGUUGCAACAUAUAUGGCAAAAAGGCUUUAACGCAGUAGCUUGACGGAAGUUGUAAUUAUAACCAAGAUCCGAGAGCGAACGCUUUAGAGAUGGUGGGGCUGACCUAAUAGCUUCGGCUCAGGAUUCGAGGUUGAGACGUAUUUGAGCAUCCUCUUUCAAAUCCUUUUUUGUGAAGGCAGGUUUCAAAACUAUGAUGUCAGGAUCUGCCGCCGCUGGUAUAUUGCCCCACGAUGAGAGAAGGUGGGAGCCGAAAGAUAAACAGGUGGCAAUUGACGAGUUGAAUAAAUAUUAGACGUAACCAAAGGGCAAAGAGGUUGGGGAUGUGGGGAGUAUGGUGAUAUCGAGUCUGAUGAUGAUGAGAAAAGCUACUGUUGGUAUUGGGAUAUGCUGAUGUUUUUAUGUGAAAAAACAUCAAGGGAUAUUAAUAUAUGGACCAUAUUUGUAAAAAUUUAGACUGUCUGUAAAAUGUUGGUUUUUGUAUACUAUAUAUUUUAAUUUUAUAAUAUUCAAUUAACGCAAGGGUUACAGAACCCUACAAUUUAGUACCAAGGAAAACCCUAAAAGCUUAAAAGAACCCUAAGAAGAGAACUAACAAAGAAAAAACAUGCCAUCGUGGGGCGAUACACUAGCGACAGAUGCUGACACCAUAAAUUUGAAACCUGCUUUCACAAAAAUAGAUUUGAAAGAGGAAGCUCAAAUACGUCUCAACCUGGAAUCCUAAGCUAAAGUUAUUAGGUCAGCUCUGUCAUCUCCAAAGCGUUCUCUCUCAGAUCUUGGUCAUAAUUAUAACUUCCGUCAAGCUACUGUGGUAAAGCCUGAAGACGUCAUAAAGCCAUAAAGCUCUCAAAUAUGAGGUAAUGUCUAUGGGCACAACUACUACUUUAGCAUACUCUCUCGCAGGUCAGUUGAUCACAUCUAUUUUAAGGAUUACAAUCAUAUGUUUAUUAAGGUGAACGUCUAUAAGUAACGCUUUGAUAAUCCAAAAACGUAUCGGAAGGCUAUAAUUAUAUCUUGCAUACUAUCAAUCAUAAGGAUGACUUUAUUAUAAAAUGUUUCAAUGACCAAAACAUGUUUUCUACAUUAAUUCCAAGUUGUUUAAGGCCAUUGUCGAUGCUGUCAUUGAAGAUAUUACUUGUAUUCUCAAUUACACGAAAACUUUCUUGAAUAUAUUUGCUGCUGAUAAACGAGUUGUCAUUGAAAAUCUUAUUUUUUAGGAAAUUGAUCAUACUUUUUAUUAUACAAAAGAAUGUAAAGGGAGGAAAGCGAUCCCCCAUGACAUGAAAAUUUGUUGAAAUUUUGCAUUCUAAAGCAUUUUUCGUACUUUUGGUUGAAAAAAAGAUUGCAUCUUUUUCCAUAACCGUUUCUCUUUUGGCCACAGAAAAAUUAUAUAACCGUUUUCCAUUCAUAAUUUUAAGUGCUAGAGGGAUGUUGCCAUCCAGCUUUUUCUACUAAAGUUGAAAAUGGAAUUAGGGUUAUCUGUUUUUGGCUUUGAUGGACUGUGAUCCAUAUGAAAUUCAGAUAAUGUAUGUAUAUAUGUUUCAGGGUCAAAGAAUUUGUCUUAUAAAAAUGGUCACCUAACCAUAUCAAUGUCAAAUGGUUAGGUAAUAAAACUUCGCAUAUAAGAAAGUUUAAUCUCUCUGAAAAUGUUCGAAUCUAAAUGACAUUGUGUUAUUAAGAUGACUGAAAAUAUGUUAGAAAAUAAAUGUGUGAAUAGUAAGCCUAAAUGGGCUGAAGAAUUGAGGACCAUGUUAGAGACUAAAGAGGAGACAGAAAUUCAGGUUGCGACAUGUUUUGGGAUGAAGUAUUUAACUGAAGUCUACCUACCGAAAAAGCUAUAGGAUUUCGAUUGCGUUUAAAGUUGGAGAUAAGAAGAGAUGUAGGGGGCAUGAUGGUAGUACGUGGAGAAAUGAAAAGAAAAUAACUUUUUUAAUGACUAUUUUUGUUUAAGAGUAGAUAAUUAUUUUAAUGGUUGUUUUUUAAUAUUUAUAACCAAUUACAAUGGUUGAUUAUUGUAAUAUUUAUUAUGAUUGUAACUUGCAAAUCACUCAGGAGGUUAUUUUAUCACGAGUGGUUUUCAAAACUUUUGCAGAAUUAUAUUUUAUAGCAAUCACGUCUGUAAAUGCUAUAAAAAUAUAAGUUUAUAAAUGGUGUAAAAAUUUAUAAACUAAAAGUACAUGAUACAAUUAAUACCAACAAGUAUUGCAUUCAA